AAUAAAUAAUCAAAUUUGAUUUAAAGGUGCAGUAAGCAAUUUCUGAGAAAGACACACUUGUAGCCAAUCAGCAGUAGGGGGCGUAUACACUCAUUAUGGGGGAGGAGAGAGAGUGAACAAGAGGGAGAUUUGAAGAAAGUCUGUAGAAAGAGAGAAUGCUGAGAGACACAUUUCAAAAAAGGAAAGGUCAGAGGAAUAUCGCUGGAAAAAGAAGGGUUAUGAUUGGGCAUUUAGGACCCACAAUAAUAUUAGAAAAGCUUUCCAGCGCUGUAAGUGGGAAGGCCUGAAAACGUAAACAAAUGAAAACGAGUAACAUUGGUUUUGCUAUGUUUCACAGAACCAAGAUAUGCUGUUGUUGUAAUGUUAGCUAUAGUAAUAAGAUUUCAAGUUUUCAGUGUCAUUGUUUGUCUGGAGCUGGUGUGCUUCUGGCGACUAACAACGAACUCUUGUUCUUGUGUACUGUAUGUUCAUUUUUUGUUCCUCCCUUGUUUGUUCGUCACCUUCGCUUUAUUUUUCACAAAGCAUUAUUUUGCUUCUCUUCAGCUAUGAUAAGCAUCCACUCUUGCAUUGCCUGUUUGUGCAUUUUGGGGGGUGGAGCAAUGAAGGGAGGGGUUUGUUUGUUUGGGUUGAUUCAAGUAUCCACAGUGUUUCUCAGAAAUUGCUUACUCCACCUUUAAGCCUUAACUGGUGACAUUUAAGAGGCUGCAUGAGGAUACCUUUGAAAAUUAAAUAUUUUGCUCAAAUAAUGUAAUUUCAUCCUUUCUUCAAGAUGUUUUUAUUUUCAAUUUAACAGUUUGUAUCUUACAGGACAAAUGACGUAAAAGUUAGGAACAUAACCCUCAAGGUCAGCGGCCAUGUUGCUUUUAGAUAAAGAAGGUGAGAUGAUGCUUUUACCAAGUCACUUGAGUAUGAUACCCAUUUUAAUGUUUUAGGCCCACUCACUCCCUGUGGAUAAAAUUUUUUCCCUGUUAGUCACUAAAAAGACCACAUGAGGGAGCUUUAACCCAUGCGUAUCUUCAGAGACUGAAAUCAGCUUCAUGAAACCAGUUGAAGACUUUUCAGCAGACAUGAUGAUAAAUUAUUUUCUGAGAAAUGUGAGAUUCAGUGAUUUUCUAACCACCUUGCUAAACUCCAUCACGCACUACACAGAUCACAAUGCAGAUGAGCAAGAGUCCAAGCACAGCACCCAGUUAUGGGGGUGGGAAUAAGAUGAAAGAGGCAGAAAACAUUGAACAUCUGUCUGUAAUUGACGGCAUGGCCAGGGAAUCUAGGGGAGUGUGUGGCCUUGCAGCUGUGGUGCAGGGAUUUGUUUUUGUUCCUUGGAUACUGUGGCACCCUGGUGGCCCAGAAACUGACCCACCACAGGGACGAUUCCAAUGGAUACAUGCAGUCUGUAUGUAGAGGGUUAAAUAUCAAUGUAGUCUUUAAAGGAAGAGAAACAUAUUGAAGAAAAACUUCAUUUCAGUCUGGUUUCACUCCAGGGCACAUAUGCUUCUUCUCAUGAAAUGCUGCUAUGAACUGAAUCGUCAGUAAAGAGCAAGAGGAACCAGAAAAUUACCAGACAAAAGUGAAUUAAGCACCCUAGCAGCUUCCACUGGACCAUGAGCACUGAUCAUUCUGCGCUGAAGGGUUCAGCCCUGGUUAAUGGAGCAGAGCUGGCGACAGCCACUGGAGGAGCAGAGGGGUCCUGCUCUCGCUGUACCCUUCCUUUUGGUGUGGUUCUCCUGAUCAUUGGAGUUGCAGUCACAGCGGUAGCCUACAGUUUCAGCACCCAUGGAUCAACCAUCUCCAUUCUGGGACUUCUGCUUCUCAUCAGUGGACUGUUGCUUCUGGGCUUCAGUGCAGUGUGCAGGAGAUGCAGAAAGAGAAGAAAAAUGGACAGAUCGUGGGAGAGUCAGACUGACCUGGUAGAGAGUCGGAGGAAUAGCUUUGAUUAAAAUAUGUUUUGGAAUGACUGAAAAUGAAUUCAUUUGAAUCCAUUUGUCAUUAAAAUUCAAUGUACUAUUCAAUGUGUUUAGAGUUUCAACAGAAUGAGAUUGACCCAGAGCUCAUAAUAUCCAGAUUUUGAUUAAAUGGUACGAUUCGCAUGACGUACUUUUAGGUUUAAAAAGACCUGCUUUGAAUGGAAAUAUUGGUGACUUCAAAUCACAUGCAUAAAAACCAGAGCAGCACAUUCAUUCAAAUUGUAGACAGAUUAUGCCCUGUGUCAUGUAUGGUUUGCAUGGCCCCCACCUGUGACCUUCUUUUUAAGACCUCAGUUAUUCUUUUAGUCCAUCUGGUACGUUUACAGUAUAAUCCUUGUCAAACUAUAAAACUUUGGGCAGGUGGUAUGUGCUAGUGUUCACUGCACAGCUGUAAGCUGUAAUAGAUGCUUAUGGACAGAUCAAGACAUAAAUAGGCAGAUGUUGCAAACCCAGAUUAAAAGAAGAAAAGCACUCUACUUUCUCGUCCAUUAACAUGAAGGUCAAACAAUACUGUACCCUUAGAUUACCUUUGGGUAUAACACUAAAUAUCAAAGUUUCAGUUUUAUUUUUAUUGUUGAUACAUGAUAGUAUAGCUUUGCAUAUAUUAUAUUUAUACAUAUAUUUUGCCUUACUUUUUCUCACAUGGGCUGGGUGAAAUGUAAAGGCCCUUUCACACCAAAAGUGAAAUGCAGCUCAAACAAACCUUUCAGCUGUGCUGCUGUAAAGGAUUGCAAAAGAAUAUGAGAAGGAGGAGGAAGAGAAGAAAGUGUAACACCCUUACUUCAGCAAUAAAAACAAAUUAAACACACAAUCUCAGUCACCAUGUCCGUCACCUUCUGCACUACAUUACCCAGAAUCCUUCCUGGUCCAUCACCUGCACAUAUUCCACAAUCAUCACCAGCUUUCAUCUAUCACCUCAUCACCCUGCACCAGAUAUAAGGACACUCCAUUUAUGUGCAUUGUCUGGUCUUGUUGAUUGCCAAGACUGCUAUCGUUUGGACUGCGACUUACCGGAACUAUACUUACCUCUGUGCCCUGCUCCUUGUCCCUGUCUCCCCUUCAGUCUCCAUGCUCCUGUUCCUCCUUGUUCCCCAGUUUCUAUAUGGACAUCCUGCAAAGAAAGGAAAGUUAUUCAUUGCAUAUCAGUGACUGUUAGAAGUGUGUGUGUGGAUUCUCACCUGCAAGUUCCCUGUCUGCACUCACCGCCAUUGCUGCCUGUUUUCACUCUGCUAAUUUCAACCUAUUUUUCAAUAAAGAGUUUAAUUGUUUAUA
Ctenopharyngodon idella (grass carp) is the source of this 3236-nucleotide long non-coding RNA. RefSeq lists it as uncharacterized. The record is from RefSeq and is a predicted model, not a curated record. The transcript has 2 exons. NCBI's taxonomy places the organism in Eukaryota, Metazoa, Chordata, Actinopteri, Cypriniformes, Xenocyprididae.